This 77-nucleotide transfer RNA is filed under the name Oscillospiraceae bacterium. RNAcentral describes it as "tRNA-Ile". It matches the Rfam family "tRNA". Rfam says of the family: Transfer RNA (tRNA) molecules are approximately 80 nucleotides in length. Their secondary structure includes four short double-helical elements and three loops (D, anti-codon, and T loops). Further hydrogen bonds mediate the characteristic L-shaped molecular structure. tRNAs have two regions of fundamental functional importance: the anti-codon, which is responsible for specific mRNA codon recognition, and the 3' end, to which the tRNAs corresponding amino acid is attached (by aminoacyl-tRNA synthetases). tRNAs cope with the degeneracy of the genetic code in two manners: having more than one tRNA (with a specific anti-codon) for a particular amino acid; and 'wobble' base-pairing, i.e. permitting non-standard base-pairing at the 3rd anti-codon position. Lineage: Bacteria; Bacillati; Bacillota; Clostridia; Eubacteriales; Oscillospiraceae. The record is from RNAcentral.
GGGCCCUUAGCUCAGUUGGUCAGAGCGGUCGGCUCAUAACCGAUUGGUCCCGGGUUCGAGUCCCUGAGGGCCCACCA